AGAGGGCCCACUGGGGUUGUUUGUUGAAUUCUAACACUUUCUCCUCUAGCGAAGUGGGUCCUGAUCCUGAAGCCAAUUUCUACCACACUCCACAAAAUGUCAAAAACCCAAAAAGCUUUUCUUCUUGAAAAAGUGAGAUGGAGGUUCUGGUCGAUGAUUUUGCUUGUUUUAUAUACACUUUGGUAAUGGCGUGGCCUCAGCCCUCAU
Molecule: unclassified non-coding RNA, 207 nt
Filed under: Hevea brasiliensis (rubber tree)
Lineage: Eukaryota; Viridiplantae; Streptophyta; Magnoliopsida; Malpighiales; Euphorbiaceae
Source: RNAcentral